AAUCUCAAGGAAGCUCUUUGGGAGCCAGGAUUCCCAGCACUUAGCUGGUGGGCAAAGGGGUUCAACCCCUUCCCCACACCCCACCUUCCCUCCUCCCAGUCUUCGGGAUUGCGGAGCUCCUGCCGGGAUCCAAGAGCAGGCUCUUGGAGGUCGAAGAAGGAUAUAACCUCCAGACCUGGAAUUUAAGACGCAAGAACCAGCCAGCAAAAGUGGCAGCCGAGCAUGCGAGGGACUGCUGAUGGCUUUUUAUUAGGAAGCUAUGCAACUUGAGGUUCUACUGAAAAGGAGAAGAGGCCACUGGAGAUGGGAAGCCACGAAAACCCUCUCACUGGCAUGGAGCACAGCAAGCAGGCUAGGCUGGCUGGCUAGCGAUCUCCAUCCCAUCUAUCUUUGCCUUCUCAGCACCGGGAUUGCAUACACACCCAGAAUUCUUGGCAUGUUUCUUCAUCCUCUCCAUUUCAAGUUUUAUUUUUAUAAAAGGAAGAUAACAAUGAAGAUGUAGAAGUCUCAGCUCCUUCAAUGCUAUGUCUGCCAAGAUGCUGCCACACUCCCUUCUUGAUGAUAAUGGACUGAACCUCUGAACCUGGACGAGAAACUACAGCAUUACUUCUGCAGAUUCACAAAGGAGUCCACGUUCCAAGAUGAGAGAAAUACCAGAAGCCGAUGGCUAUUCUACUUGACUGAAUGAAAAGAAAAGGAAGGCACUUCCUGUCAAUCCUGCUUUGGAUUCCUAGACAGUUUAAGAAGCACCAUUGAUCUGAUCAUUGGCACUGAGGAGGAAAUGCCCAUCCGCAGAAGACAUGCAGGGCUCAACCCAGCUUGACAUGGGCAGUGAGUGGUUUCUGAUGUAACCCUUUCUGUAAACUACCCCCUCACACACAUGUAAACCCCUGCUUCCUCCUUUAAGUAGCCACAUUGGUGGUGCCUCUGUUGUAAGGUUACAGGGGAGAAUGACUAGACAGUAGUGAGGAAAGCAUUUGGGAAGGUGAUUCGUUUCUGUUUUUCUGGUACUCUCCCAAAACAGGAGAUACUCUUGUUGCAUAGAUGCAGUCAGUGGUUUCUUGCAGUCAGUGGUUUCUUGGAUUUGGGGAGUUAAAAGUCAUGUGACACAGGCCUAUUGACACAUCGAUGUGAGGAGUUUAAGGUAAUGCUGCUGUGAUUGAGAAGAAUCGCCCCAGUAAAGCUUUAGCAUGAAGCCAAGCAGCUUAUAAUGACACAGGAUUCUCAAUGAAUGAAGUUUUAAGGGAUAAAAUCUUUACAAUGAAAUAAAAACAAUCUUAAGAAAACGAUUAGGCUCUAGUAAAAA
Molecule: long non-coding RNA, 1306 nt
Filed under: Mus musculus (house mouse)
Lineage: Eukaryota; Metazoa; Chordata; Mammalia; Rodentia; Muridae
Description: RIKEN cDNA 9530026P05 gene
Source: RNAcentral